RNAcentral lists this unclassified non-coding RNA (270 nucleotides) under Hevea brasiliensis (rubber tree). Lineage: Eukaryota; Viridiplantae; Streptophyta; Magnoliopsida; Malpighiales; Euphorbiaceae. The record is from RNAcentral.
GCUCGGUCUUCUCUGUCUAUUGUUGUUAAAGUCAAGCUGAACGAUGCCUUAUUUGUAGAGCUUGAUGUUUGCAACACAAUAUGACCAGAAAUUAUCAGCAAAUGUUUACUCUUGCAACUAUCUUGACUCGUGGAAUUUUCUGCUUGUUAUUUCUGUGUUCUUUUAUAAAAAAUCAUGUGACAGUUAUCACUGAUCAGAAUGAUUGGCUUACUUUUGGUCCAUAAUUGGCACUAACCUCUACACAAGCAUGCCAUAAAUAUUGGAUAUGGG